This is a long non-coding RNA of Anguilla rostrata (American eel), 2056 nucleotides long. RefSeq lists it as uncharacterized. NCBI's taxonomy places the organism in Eukaryota, Metazoa, Chordata, Actinopteri, Anguilliformes, Anguillidae. The record is from RefSeq and is a predicted model, not a curated record. The transcript has 2 exons.
ACACAGCAGGGAAAACCGUGUAAUGUUCAUCGGGCUGUUAGCAAUGCACUUUUUCUGCACCGCAUUAACCAGCUCAACGGCUAACCAAACGAGCUGUCAAUGGUCUCCUACUUGAAGUUUGAAGACUGGAAUGGGAAGGCUACGGACACCAGCUUUGCUACCAUCUGAGAACUCAGCUGAGGCGCACUAAAUACUGAAUAUCCAAUUCUGCUUAUUGGAUUCCACCUCAGUUCACACCGCCUAGACUCCACCCUAUGCAGAAAUCAACCUCAGAGUUGUUGGACAAAAAACAAUUUCACAGGAGCAAAAACAAAGAUCCACCAUCUUGGCACAAAUGAUGUUAUGGAUUUUUUUAAGGAAUGCUCUGUCAUGUGCAUGACCACUACUGCAGAGCUCAAUCACUGUAUUCCUGCAUAAACAUUGAUUUAUCUCUGUGGAGAAAAAAAGGUUUGUUUCAGAGACUUGUGGAUCCGAAACUAUAACUAAUCAACUUAAUGGCAAUUCAAGUUCAAGCAGAUUGUGUUGUCUCAUGUGAAAAAAAUUGGAUACUUCAGCAUUCUUGAAGCAUAUUUAUAUAAGCUUUAAUUUACUUCAAGUAUUCUAAAGUGUAAAAUAGUAUACUUCAAUUUUUUUUUUUUUAAUCAAGACUUGCUGAAACUGAAAACUUACUUUAUUAUCGUUUUAGCUAUAAUGCCAGGGGUGUUACUGAGAGACUUUGAGGAAAUUUUCUAGAGCUAAAUUUAUGACACACUUAAAGGGAAUAUAUGAACUUGCUGGCCAGCCUAAAGUUGAUGAUCCCAGAAGUCCUUUUCUCACUUCGUACCAGAAGUCUCAUUUACAUUUUAAUGACUUUCUGUCCAAAUACAACUUCUUGGGGAAACACCAAAAUUGAGUAAGGAUGUGGAUGGCACGUCUCAACAGGACAAAUGACAUGCAUCGUCUUCAUGCAGAGCUCCCAUCGCACUGCUCAUUCACAGGACACACUGAGCUUCAGAGCUCUAUUACCAGCCAGCGCAUGGCGUGUAGCGAGCCGUCGUACUGGCGAAGUGGUAUUUUCAUCAUGGAUUUUGACGAGGCCGAGCAGUUUGGUAAUUUCUUGGCUCGCCGUGCACGGAAGCGGGCGAAGAGCUGCUGUUGGAGGUGUGUCAGGCGAGAUCGAUCUGCACACUGCAAUUUCGGCGCAGCUCAUUGUGAUUUUUGUGUCAGCAUAGUCUGCGAUUCACACUGGCACCGCCCACCUGGUCAGACCAGGUCUACGGCACAAGUUGCAGCCCAGCAUUCAGUGAAUUGCUCAUUUUGGGGCUUAGCCAUUCAAUGCCUGCAAGGUCAGAGCCUAUUCAAAGGACAAUCAACGGUUUUUUGCGGAUCAUAUGCUGUCCAAUGUGAUACUUUGUAUUUAUUGUCCAUUGUCAUAUUAUUAUUUUUUUCAUCAUUUUAAUUGUUGUAUUUCCAGUUUUAAUUGUUUAUGGCUGUUCUUAUACUGCUCUGUAGUCGUACUGGCACUGUAUUCUAUUCUGUUUGUUACACCCAUCUGUAAUGAGAAGAAUGACAAACACAACUUGAACUUUCUUUUCAUUUUAAUUAUGUGACUGUAGUUAAGAUAACAGGUACAUGCAAGCUACAUGUCAUUAUCUGCAUUAGUUACACUAUUAAGUCGCCUAAAAAUAAAAUUCAUGUGUGGGUCACAUUGUAUUAUCCACAUAGCUUGUAAGCUGUACAUUUGAAAUGGAGGAGCCAAGAAAAAUCGACACUCCACUGCACCUCAGGAGUGCCAUUUGGAAGUAUUAUGGCUUCUGUGGAGACAAAAUAAUAACCAAGGAGAAAGUUGCCUGCAACGUAUGGAAGUGGCAACUGCCUGCUAGCCACCCAGAGGCUUUUUCUGCUCUAAAAAAAGGUCAGUCCUUUCAGUUUGGUUUAAGUAAGCCAUGCCAUUGUUGUGAAUUAAUGAUGGGCUUUUGUGCAUUAUAUUUUUCAUUCAUUAGACCAACAGUUGAUACGGAGUCAUUUCAUUGCAGUGACCUUCCCUGGUUUUAUUUCAUUAAAUAAAACUUCAAGA